Molecule: ribosomal RNA, 180 nt
Filed under: uncultured Glomeromycotina
Lineage: Eukaryota; Fungi; Glomeromycota
Description: partial small subunit ribosomal RNA
Rfam family: Eukaryotic small subunit ribosomal RNA (bases 44-180)
Source: RNAcentral
GAUCGGCUUACUGGUCGUGCUUUUGUACGUACUGGUAAAUCGGUUUCUCCUUUCUGACGAACUUUAAUGCCAUUAAUUUGGUGUUUUAGGGAAUCAGGACUGUUACUUUGAAAAAAUUAGAGUGUUCAAAGCAGGCUGUUUACAGCUUGAAUAUCUUAGCAUGGAAUAAUAGAAUAGGAC